GACGAACGCUGGCGGCGUGCUUAACACAUGCAAGUCGAACGGAAAGGCCCUGCUUGCAGGGUACUCGAGUGGCGAACGGGUGAGUAACACGUGGGUGAUCUGCCCUGCACUUCGGGAUAAGCCUGGGAAACUGGGUCUAAUACCGGAUAGGAGCCAUUUUUAGUGUGAUGGUUGGAAAGUUUUUUCGGUGUAGGAUGAGCUCGCGGCCUAUCAGCUUGUUGGUGGGGUAAUGGCCUACCAAGGCGGCGACGGGUAGCCGGCCUGAGGGGGUGGACGGCCACAUUGGGACUGAGAGAAGGCCCAGACGCCUACGGGAGGCAGAAGUGGGGAAUAUUGCACAAUGGGCGCAAGCCGGAUGCAGAGACGCCGCGGGGGGGAUGACGGCCUUCGGGUUGUAAACUCGUUUCGCUAGGGACGAAGCUUUUUGUGACGGUACCUAGAUAAGAAGCACCGGCUAACUACGUG
RNAcentral lists this ribosomal RNA (465 nucleotides) under uncultured bacterium. RNAcentral's name for it is "partial 16S ribosomal RNA". It matches the Rfam family "Bacterial small subunit ribosomal RNA", at positions 28 to 507 of the family's 1533-position model. The record is from RNAcentral.